ACCUGACUGAGAGAGGCAUUGUCUGAGAAGCUAUUGACGCCAGUUUUUCUGCUUUGCUUUAAAUGAUUUGUACACAGAUAUCAAAACAGUACAGAAAGUACAGCUGCAGAGAUGUAGCCAAGGGAUGGGCCAUCCUAGCACGAAGCAUGGCCACCCUUCUGGCCAACCCAGUUAUGGAAAGUGAGACCAUCAGCCAUCAUCAAUUAAAAGGUCACCAGAAAAAAAGUUGCCAUCAAGGUAUUUAUGAUGAGUCUGCAUUUAAUAAUUUGUGUAUCUUGCUGUUAUAGGCUAAUUUUGCUGAACAAACAAAAGAGUGAAUGUGAGCUACUUUAUGAAGUAUAACAUGUGAUCAUAAGAUUAACUUAUUAACAAAGUUAACCAUCAAAAAAUUAGUCAGCUAUAAUCAAUUGUCAUGCUAACAAGUCACUUUUUACAGCUAAAUACAUGCAUAUGUUGUAGGCUGGGUUCCAUCUAAGCUGUAGCAAGGGCAGCCUAAAUUAAAGGGUCCGUCUACAUUUUUUUAAUGUUAAUGUUGUGUAUUUACUUAUUUUUAUUUUUAUGACAUUAAUUGUGCUUAUGUAAUAAUUUAUUCAUCUACCUUUGAUUGUAUAUGAAUUAAUGUGUAUAUAUAAUAUGUAUAACAUAACAUAUUAAUGCAUAUUUAGGCUGUUAUGAAAGAUCAAACAAUGCUAUGUUCCCUUUUUUCUUUUCUAGACCAUAUCAGAAAAUAUCACUGGCUUUGAAUUUCCAUUUGUUAUGGUUAUUUUGUUGCUCUCAUGGCACCACAAUGCAAUGGGAGUCUUUUUAAAUGUGCCCUAAGUGCAUUAAGUAUGAUCAUCAACAUGUAAGCAUUGAAGUCUAUAUAUGUAUAUUCUAUUCUAUACAUAUACUCAUCAGCAUGCAAGCAUAGAUCAUGGUUGUCUAAAAAAAACAUGUAUCUCCAUUUUUGCCCAUUUUUAUUUUUCUCUAUCAUUUGAAUGCAGCAGCUGUCUUGUACAUCAUGUGAUGAAUGGACUGAAAGAAAUGCUCCAAAAUCACAUGACUGACUUACAUCAACAAGCAGCUUUGUCUUGUAAAGUGACUAUUUUGGAGAUACUUGCUUUUCUUUGGACAGCAACAAUACAUUACUACUACAUAAUAACACAUUCUGAAGGGACUCCCAAAGAGAUGAAGCUGUUUCUUAAAUUGAAUUGAAUUGCAUUGAAUUGAAGACAUAAAAACAGUUAGGUUAAAAUGUACAUUUGUGGCAUAUGCCAUGUGCCUCUACAUGUUCAUUUUAAAGGAAAAACUUUAAGGAAUUCUUAGUCAUCCAGAUAAUCCCAAAGUCAAGUCUGUUCAGUAGAAGAAGAGAUCAUGACCACUCCUUCUGGACAAUCGUCAGUUUUGGCUGAAGUUAUCCAGCUUACUGAGAAAUCUUGCUUUGUAAAUUCCCCCAUAGAUCUGAAAUAGCCCUGACACUAACACCUCUGGUGCAUAGCUGUGAAACAUCGCACCAUAGAAAACAGAAAAGGGUUGUUUUUCACUGCCUUUAAGGGGUGAGUGCAAGGUCAGUAACGAAAGGGAAGUGACUAACAGAUCACUGUAAGAUCUGCAUUAGCACAAAUUGUCAAGCAGUUUAACAGCCCUUGAUUUAUAAUAAUAAUAAAGUUUAUUUAAAUACCACUUUCAGUACAAGCGCUUUACAAAGAAACAAAAACAACAUAAACGAACAAUAGUAUAUAGUAUAAAUAUCAAAUAAAACAAUAAAUGUAAUCAAAAAUAUUCACACACACA
Long non-coding RNA from Colossoma macropomum (tambaqui), 1773 nucleotides. RefSeq lists it as uncharacterized. Lineage: Eukaryota; Metazoa; Chordata; Actinopteri; Characiformes; Serrasalmidae. The record is from RefSeq and is a predicted model, not a curated record. The transcript has 3 exons.